AAGGGGCAGUAAAGUAUGGGUAACCUACCCCGGGGACUGGGAUAGCCUUCCUAACGGAUGGGUAAUACCAGGCGAUCUGGCGAGAGCGCAUGUUCUUGCCAGGAAAUGAAUUUCGCCUCGGGAGGGGCUCAUAUAGUAUUAGCUUGUUGGUGGGGUAACGGCCUACCAAGGCAAAGAUGCUUAGCGGGUGUGAGAGCACGACCCGCGCCACUGGCACUGAGACACUGGCCAGACUCCUACGGGAGGCUGCAGUCGAGGAUCUUCGGCAAUGGGCGCAAGCCUGACCGAGCGACGCCGCGUGUGCGAUGAAGGCCUUCGGGUUGUAAAGCACUGUCGAGGGGGAGGAAAGCCGCAAGGUCUGACCUAUCCCUGGAGGAAGCACGGGCUAAGUUCGUGCCAGCAGCCGCGG
RNAcentral lists this ribosomal RNA (409 nucleotides) under uncultured bacterium. RNAcentral's name for it is "bacterial SSU rRNA". It matches the Rfam family "Bacterial small subunit ribosomal RNA", at positions 102 to 520 of the family's 1533-position model. The record is from RNAcentral.